Small nucleolar RNA from Malus domestica (apple), 137 nucleotides. RefSeq annotates it as small nucleolar RNA snoR137. The record is from RefSeq and is a predicted model, not a curated record. NCBI's taxonomy places the organism in Eukaryota, Viridiplantae, Streptophyta, Magnoliopsida, Rosales, Rosaceae.
GUUGCUUCUUAUGGUGGACUCCUGUAAAUUUUCAUUGGUUGGGGAUGUUCAAGUUUCUGAUGCAUAGAUAGAAUAUCCAGUAUCAAACAGCACCGUGCAUUUUUGCUUGCAUAUGUUACCGGUCUCCUGUUACACGU